Molecule: ribosomal RNA, 819 nt
Filed under: Noideattella sp. CASENT9024161
Lineage: Eukaryota; Metazoa; Arthropoda; Arachnida; Araneae; Oonopidae
Description: SSU rRNA
Rfam family: Eukaryotic small subunit ribosomal RNA
Source: RNAcentral
UGUUUUCAUUAAUCAAGAACGAAAGUUAGAGGUUCGAAGGCGAUCAGAUACCGCCCUAGUUCUAACCAUAAACGAUGCCAACCAGCGAUCCGCCUGAGUUCCUCAAAUGACUCGGCGGGCAGCUUCCGGGAAACCAAAGUGUUUGGGUUCCGGGGGAAGUAUGGUUGCAAAGCUGAAACUUAAAGGAAUUGACGGAAGGGCACCACCAGGAGUGGAGCCUGCGGCUUAAUUUGACUCAACACGGGAAAACUUACCCGGCCCGGACACUGGAAGGAUUGACAGAUUAAGAGCUCUUUCUUGAUUCAGCGGAUGGUGGUGCAUGGCCGUUCUUAGUUGGUGGAGCGAUUUGUCUGGUUAAUUCUGAUAACGAACGAGACUCUAGCCUACUAAAUAGGCGUCCCAAUCAACUUUGUUGGGCGUUCUUCUUAGAGGGACAAGCGGCUUUUAGCCGCACGAGACAGAGCAAUAACAGGUCUGUGAUGCCCUGAGAUGUCCGGGGCCGCACGCGCGCUACACUGAAGGAAUCAGCGUGUGUUUUCCCUGUCUGGUAGGACUGGGUAACCCGCUAAACAUCCUUCGUGAUAGGGAUAGGGGCUUGUAAUUGUUCCCCUUGAACGAGGAAUUCCCAGUAAGCACGAGUCAUAAGCUCGUGUUGAUUACGUCCCUGCCCUUUGUACACACCGCCCGUCGCUGCUACCGAUUGAAUGAUUUAGUGAGGUCUUCGGACUGGCGCUCGUAGCGACUUUGGCCGCGGCGAUGUGCCGGAAAGAUGACCAAACUUGAUCAUUUAGAGGAAGCAAAAGUCGUAACAAGGUUUCC